GAGUUUCCUGACAACGCUCUCCAGUGAGCCAUCAGUUUCUUCACGACCCUGGGGACAUGCAGGCUCCGUUUUCAAGUACAUCCUGGGGCUUGGCAUGUGUGACAAAAGGCAGAGGAUGCAAUUAUUGAAUAGUUAAGAUGAAGUUGUGCUGAGUUUGAGUGCGCCCUCAAUCCGAUGACUGAGAUCCUUAUAAGAAAGGGAAGAGGAUGCAGAGACAAACCCACAUGGAGACAGAGGCAGAGACUGGAGCAAUGCUGCCACAAGCCAAGGAUGCCAAGCACCAUCGGCCGCAACCAGAAGCCAGAAGGGAGGCCUGGCAUGAUUUCUCCCUGGAGCCUUUGAGACAGCAGGCUGAUACCUUUUCACCUUCAGUACUCCUCUGAACCUGCUUAAUUCACCUCUGACUGAAGGUGAUGAAGACAGCGGAAUGGGCAGAGCUCUAAGACGUGGCAUGGGUCCCACUCAAAACAAGCAGAUCUGAGAAGAUCGGGAAGGACCCAGCUGCCCCCGAGCGGGCCACGGCAUCUGUUCUGGGAGGCUCUUGGCUCUGACUGCCGCCCCUGGUUAUGAAAGUUGGAUGGUGCCUGGGAACCCUCUGCUGGCUCCUCUCAUGCAAUUUCCCAGGCCUUCUCAGCUCUCCCAAAGCAGCCGGGUUACCAAGCAGCCCAAAGAGUGAAAUGUGCUCGAUGUGGGCCAGGGAUCCUGAGCUGCCUGGAUCUCCCUCUGACAUUUCCCAGCCACGUGGGAGGAGAGAUGGGACGAUUUGCAAGUGGCUCACCCUCCUUUGGAGAAGAUAAAUGUCAGAACUGAAAGCAACUGGGUACUGAUAUAGAGCUGCCUGCUCUUAAAUAA
This is a long non-coding RNA of Bos taurus (domestic cattle), 852 nucleotides long. The record is from Ensembl. NCBI's taxonomy places the organism in Eukaryota, Metazoa, Chordata, Mammalia, Artiodactyla, Bovidae.